UCCUACGGGAGGCAGCAGUGGGAAUAUUGCACAAUGGGGGAAACCCUGAUGCAGCCAUGCCGCGUGUGUGAAGAAGGCCUUCGGGUUGUAAAGCACCUUCAGUUGUGAGGAAAAGUUAGUAGUUAAUACCUGCUAGCCGUGACGUUAACAACAGAAGAAGCACCGGCUAACUCCGUGCCAGCAGCCGCGGUAAUACGGAGGGUGCGAGCGUUAAUCGGAAUUACUGGGCGUAAAGCGCACGCAGGCGGUUUGUUAAGCUAGAUGUGAAAGCCCUGGGCUCAACCUGGGAUGGUCAUUUAGAACUGGCAGACUAGAGUCUUGGAGAGGGGAGUGGAAUUCCAGGUGUAGCGGUGAAAUGCGUAGAUAUCUGGAGGAACAUCAGUGGCGAAGGCGACUCCCUGGCCAAAGACUGACGCUCAUGUGCGAAAGUGUGGGUAGCGAACAGGAUUAGAUACCCUGGUAGUCCACACCGUAAACGCUGUCUACUAGCUGUGUGUGCCUUUAAGGCGUGCGUAGCGAAGCUAACGCGCUAAGUAG
Molecule: ribosomal RNA, 537 nt
Filed under: uncultured bacterium
Lineage: Bacteria
Description: bacterial SSU rRNA
Rfam family: Bacterial small subunit ribosomal RNA
Source: RNAcentral